GCUCUUGUAGUUCAGUGGAUAGAACAAGGGACUCCUAAGCCCUAGACGCAGGUUCGAUUCCUGCCAAGGGCACCA
This 75-nucleotide transfer RNA is filed under the name Patescibacteria group bacterium. RNAcentral's name for it is "tRNA-Arg". It matches the Rfam family "tRNA". From Rfam's summary of the family: Transfer RNA (tRNA) molecules are approximately 80 nucleotides in length. The record is from RNAcentral.